GUCUUCGUGGUGUAGUGGUAAGCACGCUGUUCGCGUAACCGAGAGGUCCGUGGUUCGAUUCCCGGCGAAGGCG
RNAcentral lists this transfer RNA (73 nucleotides) under Stegodyphus mimosarum. It matches the Rfam family "tRNA". From Rfam's summary of the family: Transfer RNA (tRNA) molecules are approximately 80 nucleotides in length. Their secondary structure includes four short double-helical elements and three loops (D, anti-codon, and T loops). Lineage: Eukaryota; Metazoa; Arthropoda; Arachnida; Araneae; Eresidae. The record is from Rfam by way of RNAcentral.